AUACGUAACAAGGUUUAUUUUAUCAUACGUCUUCAAUUGAAACACGUGAUUUAUAAGUCGAUCUACAUAGUUUGCUAGGAUUGUUCUUGCACAACGAUCGUUUCAAAACGCUAAUAAAGAGGAUGUUCGUGCUAUUCGCUAGAGAAAAACCACCAUACGAGUAUAGAAAUCGAAGUGAAGGUGAGAUUGCAGUAACAAUCGCUGCCGGAUAAACAUUUUCGUAAUGACUCGUGCAUACUCCUUACGUAUUGAUAUUUCGUUUGCAUCAAUAUCUAGUGAAUUGAUAACGUUAUCGUGUUUCACUUUAAUCGUGCAAUACAUUUUACUCCAUUGUCGUUUUCUAAUCUUCUAAACGCACGUCGGAUAAAAAUACGAAAGAAUUACAAGAUAAUUUUCAUCUACACGAACAUACAAUUAUGAUAUAGUUAUAUAGUAUUAGUUAAAAUCCUCCACGAUACUGUUUUUCGAAUAUAAAAUGAAAGAUAUAUUUGGAAAUUUGUACACACCAUUGAACACGAGGAAAGAGCAGGAAGAACAAUUUUCCUUGCAGAUAAGUCGCAUUAUAUCAUUCAGUAUUAGGUAUUUCUAGAUCAUGUAAUUCGUGUUAAUAUUGAAUAAUUGUAAUUUUCGAAUAACUAUCAGAAUAGUUACUUAAUAGGUGGUUAAUUUACUUAUAAUUAUCCACUCAAUAUGCUCAUAACGAAAUAAAAUGACUUAUUCUUAGCUUUCAGUGAAAUAUGUACUUUAUUCUGCGCUUAAAAUACGCGCAAUUUAUACUUAAUAUCUCACAUUGAAACUAAAAUUAAUUAUACUACAUUUAGUAUAACUAUAAUAUAAAUGAUAUUAGAUUAAAUUAUUAUAUUUUUCAGCAUUGGAUAGUAGAGUAUUUGCAUGGAAAAGUUGCAAAGUAUAUCGACUUUCAAAAAUUAAUUUAAUCGGAUUAAAGGAGUCGAAUAAAUUAUGUAAAAUGCUAAGAAGCUGCGUAACAGAUCAUUGGGUGUCCGAACAAAUGGUAAUGUCGAUUGUAUUACAACCAACGCCACGCCCUAGAAUUAUAUUUACGGCCUCUAACUUUGCAUGAGGAUGUAUUAUUUAUUCUAUACAUUGCAAAAAUCUCUUAGAAUUCUUAGAACAAGCUCCAUAUUUGUUUUAAUACUAUAAUUUGCCAAGUGAAGAUAGACGAAACGAUAGCACUUUUCUUUAGACAGAAAAGAACACGACGACGAACAAAAAUAAAAUGAAUCGAAGGACUAGCAACAAACAAAAUCCUUGUUCAAUCUUUUAACUUAACUCGGAACCACGAUUGAACGAUAAUUUUGAAAACUCUGUCCCGAAAAGUAUAUGAAGAGAGUGGUGUCAGAAGUAACGAGAAAAUUCCGUAUUUCUGGAUAAAUUGGUAAAAGAAGAAGAAGAAGGUAGAAUGAGGUAUCUUGGGUUCACUGUAUCGAACGAUAGAGUCGUUUCAUCCGGAUGAUUUGCCAAUUACUUUCAAUAGCCAAUCGUUACUGGAGAAAGAUUUUAAAUGUAUUUUUCUAUAUUCUCGGAAGAUUCAAGAGAACCUCGCUGGACACCUGAUAAUCAUCGAUCUCGAUCGCAAUCGUGUUAUCGUUAAUUACGAAUAAAGUACGGUAUAACUUAGGGAAAAGUAUCGUGUAAUGUGCAAUUGUCGAUGAAAAAUAGUAGGAUGCAAUGUGACAUGACUAAUAGAAUAAAACAUACUUCGAUCUACAGCGAUACGUAUACAUAAAUCAUACAAUAAGGAUAAGAUGAAGUAUAUAUCCUUUGAAAAACUCGACGAAGAAACCUACCACGACAAGAUAAAGUCUACUUUGAAGACUUUCAAGGAAGUCCAUAAAUGGAACCUCGGUACAGACAAAAUGUAGGAACGACGUUUUCUUCGGACAUCUACACGAAAGAACGCUGUAUUCAAUAUUAUAAUAGGAAAUGUUUACUAUUUAUUCCAACGAAGAUACUUUAAUUACCACGAAUCUAUCGCAGUAUCUUCGUUGUUGAACGAUGCUUGUCAAAGUCAAAGAUAGAUCGUUGGAAGGUUUAACUUUAACGAGCAUUUACGAGUGGGUCAAUGCUUCUUAUGUUUACAGGGAUGUCUGCUGCAAAGAAAUGCUCAUUAUAACUGGUAAUGUGAUAAUCAGAUUGCGACAACGACGCUCACAAAAAAUUUUCUCGAAGACAUAAGUAAGCAUCGUGAUUAAUU
Molecule: long non-coding RNA, 2215 nt
Organism: Bombus pyrosoma
Lineage: Eukaryota; Metazoa; Arthropoda; Insecta; Hymenoptera; Apidae
Exons: 4
Source: RefSeq, a predicted model, not a curated record